Molecule: unclassified non-coding RNA, 289 nt
Filed under: uncultured fungus
Lineage: Eukaryota; Fungi
Description: sequence contains ITS1
Source: RNAcentral
UUAGCUUAUUCAAAUGUUUUCAGAUUGAACAUGUUUUUAAUGAUUUUGUUGUGGGCUACUGACGAGCACGGGCCAGAGAUCAGAGAGAUCCCCAGCGGCCUGUUUUAAGAGACGGGCCCGCCAAAGCAACGUGGUAAUUAUACAAAGGGUUGGAGAUCGGGCCUAGAAGACCCUAACUCAUUAAUGAUCCUUCCGCAGGUUCACCUUUAAAAAAGUUAGCAUAGUUUCAGAAGAGGGAUGGGGUUAAAGGAUAAGACAAGGAAAUUUGGUUAUGACGUACCUACGGAAA